GUGCCUCAAGUAUCACCGACGGGGGUAAAGCACUGUUAUGGCUAGGGGGUCAUCGCGACUUACCAAACCAUUGCAAACUCAGAAUACCGUCGAGUGCGAGCUUGGGAGACAGACAUCGGGUGCUAACGUCCGGUGUCGAGAGGGAAACAACCCAGACCGCCGAUUAAGGUCCCCAAGCCAUAGUUAAGUGGAAAACGAGGUGGGAAGGCUUAGACAGCCAGGAGGUUGGCUUAGAAGCAGCCAUCCUUUAAAGAAAGCGUAAUAGCUCACUGGUCGAGUCGUCCUGCGCGGAAGAUGUAACGGGGCUCAAACUAUGCACCGAAAUCGCGGAUAUCCGCAAGGAUAUGGUAGGAGAGCGUUCUGUAAGCCGUUGAAGGCGUCUUGUGAAGGAUGCUGGAGGUAUCAGAAGUGCGAAUGCUGACAUGAGUAGCGAUAAAGGGAGUGAAAAGCUCCCUCGCCGAAAGCCCAAGGUUUCCUGCGCAACGUUCAUCGGCGCAGGGUGAGUCGG
RNAcentral lists this ribosomal RNA (508 nucleotides) under uncultured bacterium. RNAcentral describes it as "bacterial LSU rRNA". It matches the Rfam family "Bacterial large subunit ribosomal RNA", at positions 877 to 1387 of the family's 2925-position model. The record is from RNAcentral.